GGUUUAAAACUGCAUGUAGAAUGGCACGAGUGAUUAUGAAUAUUAACAGUAGCCUGUAUAUCAAAGCCCCAUGCAUUUUCUGAAAAUCAAAAUGUAUAUCAGUAAUACUACAUACUAGUAACUGGAUUACAUACAGAUUCCAAAAGUUAAGUAGGCCUAGUUCUAAUCAGAUUAUAUUACGUUUAAAUGCGUAAAAUGCUAAUUAUCUGAUUACAGUAACUUUGUAAUGGAUUAGCUACAUGAUUAAUAAUCACACAAUCACAGUAAACGAUUCAUGAUUUAUUGAUUCACCCUAUUUUUUCCCUCUUCUUCUUCUUUUAAAAUGUUCCCUUCAAAAAUUAAGCUUUAACGAAAUAUGGUUCAGAUACAGUAUUUGAGGGUUUUACUUUCCCCAUGCAUUUAUUUAAAAUAGCCUAAUGGUUACUCACGUAGCAAUCACUUGGCCUUCUUACGUAUUGCUUAUUCUUUUGAAUUGAAAACAAAAUGAUAUGAAUCGUUAAACAUUCACAAAUCAGAUGUAGUAGGCUACUAUCUGUAAAUAACCCGAGUUGUGGACAUUGCGCGUGCUUAUGUUUAUUGUGCUGCUGGGCGCGCGGUAGUUCCUGUGGGAGGGGUUAUGAUUACACUGCAGUAAUGUAAGACUGUAGUCACACCCCGGGUGAGACAGGUGUCCAGGGGCACCGAUGGCAUUGUCUCGUGAGCUGUGGAUGGUGUUCUCCGGUCGCUGCAGCAUGCACGAUGUUCUCGGCUGUCGUGAUAUAUUCCUUAAACACUAAGAAUGAGGAGCAAGAGGAAGCAGGUCAGGAUGAGGAAGAGGAGGAGUCAGCAUCUAUUCUGAGGACACGCCUUCUAGAGCUGCAGGCCACUGUAGAGGAAGUGGAGGAGCGUGGACAGAGGGCUGAAAUAGAGUAUGUGGAGCGCAUAGCUGUGUUAAACCAAGAGACGUCAGAUCUGCACAGAGACUACCAGAAUCUGCAGACGGAGAGAGACAAGCAACACAAGUUACUGCAACAAACACUGGAAGAAAACAAGCGCUUAGAGAGCGAGUGCCAAGAGCUACGCAGAGCCAGAGAUGAAGAGAGGAAGCAAGAGGAAGAGGAGAAGAGGCACAGAGUGGAGGAGGAGAGGAAGAGGGAGAUGUAGGAGAGAAAGAGACUAGAGGAGGAGUGUGAAGAAAAGCUGAAAACCGUGAGAAAGGAGCUUCAGGCUUUCAGGGAGGAGAAGGAGAGAGCGGAGAAGGAAUGCAAGAGAGAUGUGGAGGAGUGGAAGAGGAGAAUGAAGGAGAUGGAGGAAGAGAAGAGGGAGGAGCAAAAGGCAGCUGAGAAGACGCUACAAAAGAGCCUCAAUGAACACAUCCACCAGUGGCACCUGAGAGAGCAAGAAAACCGCAAGUCCCAGAAUGCAACACUUCAGCAGAGGCUGAGAAAAGCGGAGACUGACUUGGAGGUUCAGGAACAGAGGCUGAAUGAGAGCAACAGACGCUGCAGCGAACUUCAGGAGACAGUAGAGGUAAUUAACUCCAAAAUGAACUUUUUACACUUCUUCCCAUUCCAGGUGAAUCCUGACAAUCUAACAUCCUUAAAUAGUUAUUCCAUGAGACACUAUUGUGUAUGUUUCCUCUGUACUUUAAUAAACAUAUAUAAAUAUUGAUAUAAUAUUGGUGGUUCGGGGGAUACAGAUAAUUUUUCUACAGACAGAGUUAACAAUUAUUUAUGUUGUUUUUUCUUUAGGAAACAACAG
Long non-coding RNA from Carassius auratus (goldfish), 1740 nucleotides. The record is from Ensembl. NCBI's taxonomy places the organism in Eukaryota, Metazoa, Chordata, Actinopteri, Cypriniformes, Cyprinidae.